AAGUGGUAGGAGAGCGUUCUAUUUGCGUCGAAGGUAUACCGGUAAGGAGUGCUGGAGCGAAUAGAAGUGAGCAUGCAGGCAUGAGUAGCGAUAAUUAAUGUGAGAAUCAUUAACGCCGUAAACCCAAGGUUUCCUACGCGAUGCUCGUCAUCGUAGGGUUAGUCGGGUCCUAAGUCGAGUCCGAAAGGGGUAGACGAUGGCAAAUUGGUUAAUAUUCCAAUACCAACAUUAGUGUGCGAUGGAAGGACGCUUAGGGCUAAGGGGGCUAGCGG
This 272-nucleotide ribosomal RNA is filed under the name Campylobacter jejuni. RNAcentral describes it as "partial 23S ribosomal RNA". It matches the Rfam family "Bacterial large subunit ribosomal RNA", at positions 1223 to 1497 of the family's 2925-position model. Lineage: Bacteria; Pseudomonadati; Campylobacterota; Epsilonproteobacteria; Campylobacterales; Campylobacteraceae. The record is from RNAcentral.